This 599-nucleotide long non-coding RNA is filed under the name Anser brachyrhynchus (Pink-footed goose). Its description in RNAcentral is "lncRNA (ENSABRG00000017086.1)". Lineage: Eukaryota; Metazoa; Chordata; Aves; Anseriformes; Anatidae. The record is from RNAcentral.
GAUCUGCAAAAUAUGGGAAACGUAUUCCUUGAUGUCUUAGAUAUUUCACCUGUGUUAUUAUUAAGUCCCUAUUAAGUUUAUUAUUAUUAUUGUUAUUAUUAAGUCCUUAUCAAGUUUAAUAGGGACUUGUACCUUGAACUCAACUUAAAUGCUAAGCUAAGUUGCUGACUGUCAUCUCUCAUUCAGUUAUUCACUCACGAGAUGCACACACACAAUGACUUAGGUUAAGUGACAGCUUUUACACCUCAGUGUGGUGUGAGCUCUGGUGCAACAGCAUUACAAUUUUACAACUCUUCCUCUCACUUAUUCUCAACAGAAGAAAGGCAAAGCUUAAAGCAGAGACAAGCGAAACAAAUGAUGAUGCUGAAGGAUGGAAAUGCCUGAGGCCACUGGCUAACCAUGCUACAAAACCAUCACUAAAUAGGAAAUUGCUACUUUUUUCACAGCUGUGUGACUACAACUUGCAGAAACCCUGCUGCAGAGGAGCACACCGACCUGUCACAUUCACUCCACUUCCACCUAACACCUCUGAGGCCAGUUUUUCCUCCAAGUUGUCCUGGCUGGAAAACGUGGAGCAACUGGUAAUGCUGGUGGAGUAG